RNAcentral lists this ribosomal RNA (303 nucleotides) under uncultured bacterium. RNAcentral's name for it is "partial 16S ribosomal RNA". It matches the Rfam family "Bacterial small subunit ribosomal RNA", at positions 507 to 807 of the family's 1533-position model. The record is from RNAcentral.
AGCAGCAGCCGCGGUAAUACGUAGGGUGCGAGCGUUAAUCGGAAUUACUGGGCGUAAAGCGUGCGCAGGCGGUUAUAUAAGACAGAUGUGAAAUCCCCGGGCUCAACCUGGGACCUGCAUUUGUGACUGUAUAGCUAGAGUACGGUAGAGGGGGAUGGAAUUCCGCGUGUAGCAGUGAAAUGCGUAGAUAUGCGGAGGAACACCGAUGGCGAAGGCAAUCCCCUGGACCUGUACUGACGCUCAUGCACGAAAGCGUGGGGAGCAAACAGGAUUAGAUACCCGCGUAGUCCCUGUCUCUUAUAC